Molecule: ribosomal RNA, 954 nt
Filed under: Triticum aestivum (bread wheat)
Lineage: Eukaryota; Viridiplantae; Streptophyta; Magnoliopsida; Poales; Poaceae
Description: partial small subunit ribosomal RNA
Source: RNAcentral
AUGAGCUGCACCGGCUGCGCCGCCCAUCACCGCCACCGCGCCGCCGUAGCUGCCGCUGCACCAGGCGGCCCCCGCCGCGCUCGCCGGGCUGCUGCAGCAGCCGCUGCAGCUGCCAUCCACCGCCACCACCGCCCCGUCCUGGCUGCCAUGGCAGCUGCCGCACCAGGUGGCCUCCAUCGCUCACCGGGCCGCUGCAGCAGCUGCCAUCCACCCGCCACCACCGCCCCGCCCUGGCUCCAGUGGCAACCAUCGCUCCUGGCGACCUCCUCCGCGCCCGGCGCUUCGCCGCAGCAGCCGCUGCAACUGCAGCAACCAUUGCCGGUCAGCUCCGGCCCCGCAUCGACCGCGCCGACGGGAGUCCCGAUCCACCAGAUCAAGUCCCCGCCGUCGCCAUCACCGCUUCCCCAGGGCGUCCCCAUCCAGCAGAUCAAGUUCCCGCCGUCGCCGUCACCGCUUCCAGCUUGGAUCACUACCCGCCAUGUGUCGGCGGCGGUGAGGCUGCAGGCUGCUGCACGCGGCCUCCUAGCGCGUCGGCGUGUGCGGGAGUUGCGUGGUCUGCAGCUGCCGCUCCUCCCAGUUGCGCUUCGCUGCGCAAAGGACCUCGAUCUCGUCUGCUGCGCCGGGGAUCUUGGGCAUGCUGUUUUCCCCACGGACAGCGCCCUCAAAGUCCGCGACAUCGGCGGUUGGGGAGGCGCACCCCUCCUCGACAUUCUCCAUCGACAACCUUCCACUCUUCUAUGUGCGGUGCCGACCAACAACCGUCCGGCGAGGAGAAGGCAUGGUGUCACCGACAAGAGCGCACCGCGUAGCACCACUGCAUUCCGCCGUCGGCCGCCGCGAGGGCGCCUCUGCUGGUCGCUCUUGCGACCACUUCCAGGUGGCCAUAUACAUGCACUCCUUUUGUCCAGAUGGUGUCCAUGGGAUCCAGUGCGGAUGGCAUCCACUUUUUGUUAA